Molecule: ribosomal RNA, 253 nt
Filed under: uncultured bacterium
Lineage: Bacteria
Description: partial 16S ribosomal RNA
Rfam family: Bacterial small subunit ribosomal RNA
Source: RNAcentral
UACGUAGGGUGCAAGCGUUGUCCGGAAUUAUUGGGCGUAAAGAGUGUGUAGGCGGUGCUCUAAGUUCGGUGUGAAAUCUCCUGGCUCAACUGGGAGGGUGCGCCGGAAACUGGAGUGCUUGAGCGUGGGAGAGGAAAGCGGAAUUCCUGGUGUAGCGGUGAAAUGCGUAGAUAUCAGGAGGAACACCUGUGGUGUAGACGGCUUUCUGGACCAUAGCUGACGCUGAGACACGAAAGCGUGGGUAGCAAACAGG